AUGGCCGAGGACACGGAGACGAGGCCCGCGUCGGCGGGCGCGGAGGAGAGGGAGGAGGGGGAGAUCGCGGACGACGGAGACGGCUCCUCCGCCGCCGCUGCGGGGCGCAUCACCGCCCACCCGCUCGAGAACGCCUGGACCUUCUGGUUCGACAACCCGCAGGGCAAGUCCAGGCAGGUGGCCUGGGGGAGCACCAUCCACCCCAUCCACACCUUCUCCACCGUCGAGGACUUCUGGGGCCUUUACAACAAUAUCCAUAACCCUAGCAAGUUGAAUGUGGGAGCCGACUUCCAUUGCUUCAAGAACAAGAUUGAGCCAAAAUGGGAAGACCCCAUUUGUGCCAAUGGCGGUAAAUGGACCAUCAGCUGUGGCAGAGGGAAAUCUGACACAUUCUGGUUGCAUACUUUGCUGGCAAUGAUUGGUGAACAAUUUGACUUUGGUGAUGAAAUUUGUGGAGCAGUCGUUAGCGUGCGUCAGAAACAGGAAAGAGUAGCUAUCUGGACCAAAAAUGCUGCCAAUGAAGCUGCUCAGAUAAGCAUUGGCAAGCAGUGGAAGGAGUUUCUGGACUACAAGGACUCCAUUGGGUUCAUUGUUCAUGAGGAUGCAAAGAGGUCUGACAAAGGCCCCAAGAACCGCUACACCGUUUGA
This 648-nucleotide ribosomal RNA is filed under the name Triticum aestivum (bread wheat). Its description in RNAcentral is "partial small subunit ribosomal RNA". Lineage: Eukaryota; Viridiplantae; Streptophyta; Magnoliopsida; Poales; Poaceae. The record is from RNAcentral.